CCUCAGGAGCUUCCUGCUGUGCUCGUUUCGCUACCUCGGUAUCAAGCUUAUUCUCAGCUCCCCCCUUUACAACGAAAGCUGGCGGGGCCCCGCGGA
Caenorhabditis elegans is the source of this 96-nucleotide non-coding RNA. The record is from Ensembl. NCBI's taxonomy places the organism in Eukaryota, Metazoa, Nematoda, Chromadorea, Rhabditida, Rhabditidae.